Molecule: ribosomal RNA, 492 nt
Filed under: uncultured bacterium
Lineage: Bacteria
Description: partial 16S ribosomal RNA
Rfam family: Bacterial small subunit ribosomal RNA
Source: RNAcentral
AGUGAACGCUGGCGGUAGGCCUAACACAUGCAAGUCGAACGGCAGCACAGUAAGAGCUUGCUCUUACGGGUGGCGAGUGGCGGACGGGUGAGGAAUACAUCGGAAUCUACUUUUUCGUGGGGGAUAACGUAGGGAAACUUACGCUAAUACCGCAUACGACCUACGGGUGAAAGCAGGGGAUCUUCGGACCUUGCGCGAUUGAAUGAGCCGAUGUCGGAUUAGCUAGUUGGCGGGGUAAAGGCCCACCAAGGCGACGAUCCGUAGCUGGUCUGAGAGGAUGAUCCGCUAGACUGGAACUGAGACACGGUCCAGACUCCUACGGGAGGCAGCAGUGGGGAAUAUUGGACAAUGGGCGCAAGCCUGAUCCAGCCAUACCGCGUGGGUGAAGAAGGCCUUCGGGUUGUAAAGCCCUUUUGUUGGGAAAGAAAAGCAGCAGGUUAAUACCCCGCUGUUCUGACGGUACCCAAAGAAUAAGCACCGGCUAACUUCGUG